UAGGGGAUCUUCCACAAUGGGCGGCAAGCCUGAUGGAGCAACACCGCGUGAGUGAAGAAGGGUUUCGGCUCGUAAAGCUCUGUUGUUAAAGAAGAACACGUAUGAGAGUAACUGUUCAUACGUUGACGGUAUUUAACCAGAAAGUCACGGCUAACUACGUGCCAA
RNAcentral lists this ribosomal RNA (165 nucleotides) under uncultured bacterium. RNAcentral's name for it is "partial 16S ribosomal RNA". It matches the Rfam family "Bacterial small subunit ribosomal RNA", at positions 355 to 511 of the family's 1533-position model. The record is from RNAcentral.